This 550-nucleotide ribosomal RNA is filed under the name uncultured dinoflagellate. Its description in RNAcentral is "bacterial SSU rRNA". It matches the Rfam family "Eukaryotic small subunit ribosomal RNA", at positions 499 to 1056 of the family's 1831-position model. Lineage: Eukaryota; Dinophyceae. The record is from RNAcentral.
UGUCUUGUAAUUGGAAUGAAUAGAAUUCAAAUCCCUUUACGAGUAUCGAUUGGAGGGCAAGUCUGGUGCCAGCAGCCGCGGUAAUUCCAGCUCCAAUAGCGUAUAUUAAAGUUGUUGCGGUUAAAAAGCUCGUAGUUGGAUUCCUGUAUGGAAGGGGCGUCCCCACCCUUUGGAUGGGGGUUGCUACCUUCUUUGCAUCUUCUUGAGUAGAUGUUCCUCACUUAACUGUGAGGACAUCGUGCUCGGGACAUUUACUUUGAGGAAAAGAGAGUGCUCCAAGCAGGCAAACGCCUGAAUACGUUAGCAUGGAAUAAUAGCAUCGGAUCAUCGUACAGCUGUUGGUGUCUGGACGAGGAUAAAGGUGAACAGGGAUUGUUGGGGGCAUUCGUAUUUAACUGUCAGAGGUGAAAUUCUUGGAUUUGUUGAAGACGAGCUACUGCGAAAGCAUUUGCCAAAGAUGUUCUCAUUGAUCAAGAACGAAAGUUAGGUGAUCGAAGACGAUCAGAUACCGUCCUAGUCUUAACCAUAAACUAUGCCAACUGGAGAUGGG